This 25-nucleotide non-coding RNA is filed under the name Gossypium hirsutum (cotton). The record is from RNAcentral. Lineage: Eukaryota; Viridiplantae; Streptophyta; Magnoliopsida; Malvales; Malvaceae.
AUUAGACCAGGUGUUGUAUAUGGUA